Molecule: ribosomal RNA, 482 nt
Filed under: uncultured bacterium
Lineage: Bacteria
Description: partial 16S ribosomal RNA
Rfam family: Bacterial small subunit ribosomal RNA
Source: RNAcentral
AUUGAACGCUGGCGGCAUGCCUUACACAUGCAAGUCAAACGGUAACAGGUCUUCGGAUGCUGACGAGUGGCGAACGGGUGAGUAAUACAUCGGAACGUGCCCAGACGUGGGGGAUAACGAGGCGAAAGCUUUGCUAAUACCGCAUACGAUCUAAGGAUGAAAGCAGGGGACCGCAAGGCCUUGUGCGUUUGGAGCGGCCGAUGGCAGAUUAGGUAGUUGGUGGGAUAAAAGCUUACCAAGCCGACGAUCUGUAGCUGGUCUGAGAGGACGACCAGCCACACUGGGACUGAGACACGGCCCAGACUCCUACGGGAGGCAGCAGUGGGGAAUUUUGGACAAUGGGCGAAAGCCUGAUCCAGCAAUGCCGCGUGCAGGAUGAAGGCCUUCGGGUUGUAAACUGCUUUUGUACGGAACGAAAAGGCUCUGGCUAAUACCUGGGGCACAUGACGGUACCGUAAGAAUAAGCACCGGCUAACUACGUG